GAGUUUGAUCCUGGCUCAGGAUGAACGCUAGCGGCAGGCUUAACACAUGCAAGUCGAGGGGUAGAGUUAGCUUGCUAACUUGAGACCGGCGCACGGGUGCGUAACGCGUAUGCAACCUACCUUCAACAGGGGGAUAGCCCAGAGAAAUUUGGAUUAAUACCCCAUGGUAUUUUCGGAUGGCAUCAUCUGAUUAUUAAAGUUCCAACGGUUGAAGAUGGGCAUGCGUCCCAUUAGCUGGAUGGUAAGGUAACGGCUUACCAUGGCUACGAUGGGUAGGGGUCCUGAGAGGGAGAUCCCCCACACUGGUACUGAGACACGGACCAGACUCCUACGGGAGGCAGCAGUGAGGAAUAUUGGUCAAUGGGCGCAAGCCUGAACCAGCCAUGCCGCGUGCAGGAUGAAGCAUCUAUGGUGUGUAAACUGCUUUUGUACGGGAAGAAACACCGGUUCGUGAACCGGCUUGACGGUACCGUAAGAAUAAGGAUCGGCUAACUCCGUGCCAGCAGCCGCAGUAAC
This 516-nucleotide ribosomal RNA is filed under the name uncultured Flavobacterium sp. Its description in RNAcentral is "bacterial SSU rRNA". It matches the Rfam family "Bacterial small subunit ribosomal RNA", at positions 9 to 524 of the family's 1533-position model. The record is from RNAcentral. Lineage: Bacteria; Pseudomonadati; Bacteroidota; Flavobacteriia; Flavobacteriales; Flavobacteriaceae.